UUCGGAUUGCAGUCUGCAACUCGAGUGCAUGAAGCUGGAAUCGCUAGUAAUCGCGGAUCAGAAUGCCGCGGUGAAUACGUUCCCGGGUCUUGUACACACCGCCCGUCACACCAUGGGAGUCGGGAAUGCCCGAAGCCGGUGGCCCAAUCGAAAGAAGGGAGCCGUCGAAGGCAGGCCGGAUGACUGGGGUGAAGUCGUAACAAGGUACC
RNAcentral lists this ribosomal RNA (209 nucleotides) under uncultured bacterium. RNAcentral's name for it is "partial 16S ribosomal RNA". It matches the Rfam family "Bacterial small subunit ribosomal RNA", at positions 1292 to 1500 of the family's 1533-position model. The record is from RNAcentral.